This 2773-nucleotide ribosomal RNA is filed under the name Escherichia coli. RNAcentral's name for it is "bacterial LSU rRNA". It matches the Rfam family "Bacterial large subunit ribosomal RNA". The record is from RNAcentral. Lineage: Bacteria; Pseudomonadati; Pseudomonadota; Gammaproteobacteria; Enterobacterales; Enterobacteriaceae.
AGCGUACACGGUGGAUGCCCUGGCAGUCAGAGGCGAUGAAGGACGUGCUAAUCUGCGAUAAGCGUCGGUAAGGUGAUAUGAACCGUUAUAACCGGCGAUUUCCGAAUGGGGAAACCCAGUGUGUUUCGACACACUAUCAUUAACUGAAUCCAUAGGUUAAUGAGGCGAACCGGGGGAACUGAAACAUCUAAGUACCCCGAGGAAAAGAAAUCAACCGAGAUUCCCCCAGUAGCGGCGAGCGAACGGGGAGCAGCCCAGAGCCUGAAUCAGUGUGUGUGUUAGUGGAAGCGUCUGGAAAGGCGCGCGAUACAGGGUGACAGCCCCGUACACAAAAAUGCACAUGCUGUGAGCUCGAUGAGUAGGGCGGGACACGUGGUAUCCUGUCUGAAUAUGGGGGGACCAUCCUCCAAGGCUAAAUACUCCUGACUGACCGAUAGUGAACCAGUACCGUGAGGGAAAGGCGAAAAGAACCCCGGCGAGGGGAGUGAAAAAGAACCUGAAACCGUGUACGUACAAGCAGUGGGAGCACGCUUCGGCGUGUGACUGCGUACCUUUUGUAUAAUGGGUCAGCGACUUAUAUUCUGUAGCAAGGUUAACCGAAUAGGGGAGCCGAAGGGAAACCGAGUCUUAACUGGGCGUUAAGUUGCAGGGUAUAGACCCGAAACCCGGUGAUCUAGCCAUGGGCAGGUUGAAGGUUGGGUAACACUAACUGGAGGACCGAACCGACUAAUGUUGAAAAAUUAGCGGAUGACUUGUGGCUGGGGGUGAAAGGCCAAUCAAACCGGGAGAUAGCUGGUUCUCCCCGAAAGCUAUUUAGGUAGCGCCUCGUGAAUUCAUCUCCGGGGGUAGAGCACUGUUUCGGCAAGGGGGUCAUCCCGACUUACCAACCCGAUGCAAACUGCGAAUACCGGAGAAUGUUAUCACGGGAGACACACGGCGGGUGCUAACGUCCGUCGUGAAGAGGGAAACAACCCAGACCGCCAGCUAAGGUCCCAAAGUCAUGGUUAAGUGGGAAACGAUGUGGGAAGGCCCAGACAGCCAGGAUGUUGGCUUAGAAGCAGCCAUCAUUUAAAGAAAGCGUAAUAGCUCACUGGUCGAGUCGGCCUGCGCGGAAGAUGUAACGGGGCUAAACCAUGCACCGAAGCUGCGGCAGCGACGCUGAUGCGUUGUUGGGUAGGGGAGCGUUCUGUAAGCCUGUGAAGGUGUACUGUGAGGUAUGCUGGAGGUAUCAGAAGUGCGAAUGCUGACAUAAGUAACGAUAAAGCGGGUGAAAAGCCCGCUCGCCGGAAGACCAAGGGUUCCUGUCCAACGUUAAUCGGGGCAGGGUGAGUCGACCCCUAAGGCGAGGCCGAAAGGCGUAGUCGAUGGGAAACAGGUUAAUAUUCCUGUACUUGGUGUUACUGCGAAGGGGGGACGGAGAAGGCUAUGUUGGCCGGGCGACGGUUGUCCCGGUUUAAGCGUGUAGGCUGGUUUUCCAGGCAAAUCCGGAAAAUCAAGGCUGAGGCGUGAUGACGAGGCACUACGGUGCUGAAGCAACAAAUGCCCUGCUUCCAGGAAAAGCCUCUAAGCAUCAGGUAACAUCAAAUCGUACCCCAAACCGACACAGGUGGUCAGGUAGAGAAUACCAAGGCGCUUGAGAGAACUCGGGUGAAGGAACUAGGCAAAAUGGUGCCGUAACUUCGGGAGAAGGCACGCUGAUAUGUAGGUGAAGCGACUUGCUCGUGGAGCUGAAAUCAGUCGAAGAUACCAGCUGGCUGCAACUGUUUAUUAAAAACACAGCACUGUGCAAACACGAAAGUGGACGUAUACGGUGUGACGCCUGCCCGGUGCCGGAAGGUUAAUUGAUGGGGUUAGCGCAAGCGAAGCUCUUGAUCGAAGCCCCGGUAAACGGCGGCCGUAACUAUAACGGUCCUAAGGUAGCGAAAUUCCUUGUCGGGUAAGUUCCGACCUGCACGAAUGGCGUAAUGAUGGCCAGGCUGUCUCCACCCGAGACUCAGUGAAAUUGAACUCGCUGUGAAGAUGCAGUGUACCCGCGGCAAGACGGAAAGACCCCGUGAACCUUUACUAUAGCUUGACACUGAACAUUGAGCCUUGAUGUGUAGGAUAGGUGGGAGGCUUUGAAGUGUGGACGCCAGUCUGCAUGGAGCCGACCUUGAAAUACCACCCUUUAAUGUUUGAUGUUCUAACGUUGACCCGUGAUCCGGGUUGCGGACAGUGUCUGGUGGGUAGUUUGACUGGGGCGGUCUCCUCCUAAAGAGUAACGGAGGAGCACGAAGGUUGGCUAAUCCUGGUCGGACAUCAGGAGGUUAGUGCAAUGGCAUAAGCCAGCUUGACUGCGAGCGUGACGGCGCGAGCAGGUGCGAAAGCAGGUCAUAGUGAUCCGGUGGUUCUGAAUGGAAGGGCCAUCGCUCAACGGAUAAAAGGUACUCCGGGGAUAACAGGCUGAUACCGCCCAAGAGUUCAUAUCGACGGCGGUGUUUGGCACCUCGAUGUCGGCUCAUCACAUCCUGGGGCUGAAGUAGGUCCCAAGGGUAUGGCUGUUCGCCAUUUAAAGUGGUACGCGAGCUGGGUUUAGAACGUCGUGAGACAGUUCGGUCCCUAUCUGCCGUGGGCGCUGGAGAACUGAGGGGGGCUGCUCCUAGUACGAGAGGACCGGAGUGGACGCAUCACUGGUGUUCGGGUUGUCAUGCCAAUGGCACUGCCCGGUAGCUAAAUGCGGAAGAGAUAAGUGCUGAAAGCAUCUAAGCACGAAACUUGCCCCGAGAUGAGUUCU